GUGCAUGGCCGUUCUUAGUUCGUGGAGUGAUCUGUCUGCUUAAUUGCGUUUCAAAACAACUGAUACACAGAGUCUUGGCACAGUUCAGUUUAAUGGCGUCGAGUAUCUUUGAUUUCGACAGUAGUCCAACUCGGUUCGCCAGGGUCUCUUUUGAACGCAACGGACGUGAUCGCAACCCUUUGUUGAGUGAUGUCAGCACUCUACGUCUAUCCUAGCUCGUUGAUCGCAAGUGAGAGUUGGGUGGGCAAACUCAGGGGACAGCUUCAACUAUUCUUCUUCAAACUAGAGGAAGGUUGCGGCAAUAACAGGUCUGUGAUGCCCUCAGAUGUUCUAGGCUGCACACGUGCUACAUUGAUCAGCACAAUGCGAUACAUUUCGAAAGGAAACAUCGGUUUUAAGGUAACGUCGAUUGCCUACCGAUAGCACCUGGUCCCCAGUGGACUGGGCAAUCUCUUCUAAAUGCUGGUAAGGUACCCACACUCGAGCUAUUUAAUCACACGCGGGAGGCACACACGGUUCAAAUCUCAUUUGCGACUGUUGCCGCCAUGACGUAUGCAACUUGUCAAUUCUUCGUGGGGAUCGUCGAUUGCAACUAUUCGACUCGCCACAACUAGGAAUGCCU
This 622-nucleotide ribosomal RNA is filed under the name Orbulina universa. RNAcentral describes it as "SSU rRNA". It matches the Rfam family "Eukaryotic small subunit ribosomal RNA", at positions 1280 to 1615 of the family's 1831-position model. The record is from RNAcentral. Lineage: Eukaryota; Foraminifera; Rotaliida; Globigerinidae.